Molecule: long non-coding RNA, 1603 nt
Filed under: Mus musculus (house mouse)
Lineage: Eukaryota; Metazoa; Chordata; Mammalia; Rodentia; Muridae
Description: long non-coding RNA chr9:66262154-66263757
Source: RNAcentral
UGGUGUACAGGGGUGUCUGAAGAGACCUAUGCAGGGAAUGCAGCCAGUGAACCCACCUGCUCCUCACAGGCUCACAGCUGGCAUUUUAAUAGCCACCUGGAGCACAGCACUGUCAAGGCAGGAUUUGGGACAGGGAGUAGAGUGCCUCAUAGGACCUAGAGGAAGGGAGCCGGGAACAUGGGACAGCAUACUGCUCUAUGAGCCUCUGCCACCACUAGGAUCUUCUGCAUUUAGGAAGGGUAUACUUAUAUAUGGGGUUACACAUAUGCAUAUGGGUACAUUUUAUACAUAUGUUUAUGUUUGUGGAAGCCAGUGGUUAACUUUGGUUGUCAUUCCUCUGGAGCAAAUCUUCCUUGGCUUUAUUUUUCUGGCUGUAUAGUCCUGGCAGACCUGAAACUCACUAUGCAGACCAGGCUGGCCUCCAACAGAGAUCUACCUCCUCCGCAUUGGGAUCAAAGGCAUGUGCUAUCACAUCUGGCUCAUCCACCUUGCUUUUUGGGACAGGGUCUCUCAUUGGGGCAACUUAGACCAGGCUGGCUGGCCAUUGAGCCUCAGGGAUCUGCCGCUUUUGGCCUCCAAGGCAUUGGGAAUACAAGUACACGCCCCUGAGCUGGGCUUUUUACCUGGGGAUCAAACUUGGAUCCUCAUGCUUGUGCAAUAGGCACUUUGCUGACUAAGAUGUCUCCCGGACCCUCAUGAAGGAGUUUUGACUUACCAGACUUUAAAUUAAAGCUUGGCUUCGUGCUCAGCUCAGACAUCAUUGAGUCUGUCAGGUGGGUGGGAGAGUGUGUAACAUAUCCCUGAAAAGCAGUUCCUAAGGAAGUUGGGAGGCAGGUCCAUGGGCAGGAAGCUGUCCUAUCCUGAAGCAGAUAUAGCCAUGGCUGCCCUGUGUAUGUUUGCAGAUUCUAAAGGCUGAUGAGAAAGAGUUGGAGCAGAGCAGGGAGAGUGAUCAGAAUAGGAAGAACCAGAGACUCCUCCUCGGCUUCUCCUCCUGAGGUGACAAUGACAGUGGUAGCAUCCCUUCCCACAGCCCAGUCAGAGGUGGUUGUGCGCCCAGACAUAACCACCUCAUCACUGUCAAACCUUUUAGAAAUGUCUGAGGAGAUGAAUGGCUUUUCUCCUUUGUGAAAUUCUUGGCCUGUGGGGAAAGCUCUUGGCACUGAAGAUUAAAACUAGUGGUGGGCAUACUGGAGUCGCAGAGGGGUCAGUUCAGUUGACUAAACCCCCACUGUGCUCUGGUUCUAGGGCGAGGCGAGGGAUAAGAUCAUGGCAGCCCUGAAUAAGAGGUACAGUGUACUUAGUUCACGGUUGAUAGGGAGAGGUGAUUCUUUAAUGAUGUAGCCACUGGUAAACCCACCCAGGCUCAUGAAAACAACCCUCAUGAAUCUCACUGGGAUACACACACACACACACACACACACACACACACACACACACAAACACACGAGAGGCAUUAGUUGGAAAGAGGAAGGGGAUUAGUGAAAGAGUGGAGAAGGAUUAAUGGGUAGGAAUAUGAUUGAAAUACAUAAUGUUCAUGUCUGAAAAUGUCAUAAUGAAACCCUUUAUUAAAUAUAAUUAAUAUAUGCUAAUAAAAACAUAUUUG